GUAGUUUCCAAGAAAAUAUGAAGGCAGGAAAUGAAGAAAAAUAAUUUACAACCAAUUGGAAAUGAAUAACCACUAAAAAUGGGCAAUAAACUUUACAUUUAUCUCAAAAGGGCAAAAAUUAGCUUCAUAUAGUACAAGUCAUCCUAUCCAGUUCAAGAAAACAUGUAGUCUUCAAAAGCUUCCAAAUUGUGAAAUACACACCAGAUGUGCUUUGAAUGUAGUUUGAACUCAAUAGCUUGCACAGGACACAUAUCAACAAAAUCAGAAGCUAUUCGGCUCUCGAGUCCCCAGAUAAGAACGCAUCACAUGCAAAAAGCCCAAGGACAAAAUUAAAAUACAUACUCCAUAAAAUGAUUACUAACAGGUUAGUAUAUCCAAUGAUCACUAAUUACCAAACACGAUUCUAAGAUCAAGAAUCCUUCUCUUUCCCUGCUGAAUUUACUUGCUCGGAGGCAGGGGGGUCCAAAUUCAUUUGCUCUGGCAUCGGUAGCAUGGAUUCCACUUGAUUUGUACCUUGCAAAAUGGUAUCUAUUUCACCAUUCAUGGGUACAAUGGAGUCUGUUUGGUUGGUUUUUGUCAAGGUAGGAUCCCUUGGACCUAUUGCUUGUUGGGCAGAGUCCAUUUGAUUGGUUAAUGUUGAAUCAGGAAUUCUUUUAUCGAUUGCAGGCAGGGAAGAAUCCAUUUCAUCUGUAGUAGCCACUGCUGUUGUAUGAACGAGAUUCUUCUGUUCUAAGUUUGCUUUUGUUAUCUCAUAAUCAUUUAGGACAACCAUGAACUCGUUGAGCAACCUUUGAACUUCUCUAUUUGAUGCCAUAGCUGGAAGAAUAUCUUCUCGAAGGAGCUUGUGCUUGUUCAUUCCCUGUGAAGACACAAGUUACAAACUGUCAUCAAAUAAUAAAAAUUCACAUAAAAGAAAAACAUUAAAAAGGACAUAGCAAACAAGAAGAUGCAGACAUGGGCAGCCCAACAACAAACUUUCGAGAGAAUUUACAUCACACCAGAAACAUAAAUACCAGUUUAAACACCUACAAGAAUUAAGGAAGAAUACAAAAAGGCCUUACCAGAACAUAAGGGUCCCAUGCUGCUGUUUUUACAUCGGAUGAUGGAGCUUCAGUCAUCCCAAUAGGAGGUCCAAGAAAGCUCUCACAAACUUCUCGUAGACGGUACUCGUCAGCCUCUCUACA
Molecule: long non-coding RNA, 1184 nt
Filed under: Olea europaea subsp. europaea
Lineage: Eukaryota; Viridiplantae; Streptophyta; Magnoliopsida; Lamiales; Oleaceae
Source: RNAcentral